This 445-nucleotide ribosomal RNA is filed under the name uncultured bacterium. Its description in RNAcentral is "partial 16S ribosomal RNA". It matches the Rfam family "Bacterial small subunit ribosomal RNA", at positions 354 to 796 of the family's 1533-position model. The record is from RNAcentral.
GUAGAGAAUAUUGGGCAAUGGAUGCAAGUCUGACCCAGCCAUCCCGCGUGCCGGAAGAAGGCCCUCAGGGUUGUAAACGGCUUUUGACGGUGAAGAAUCGACAGGAUGCGUCCUGUUUUGACGGUAGCCGUUGAAUAAGCACCGGCUAACUCCGUGCCAGUAGCCGCGGUAAUACGGAGGGUGCGAGCGUUGUCCGGAUUUAUUGGGUUUAAAGGGUGCGUAGGCUGGAAGGUCAGUCAGCGGUGAAAAGCUGUCGCUUAACGAUAGUCUUGCCGCAGAUACUUCCUUUCUUGGAUGAGGAGGAGGCCACUGGAACGGAUGGUGUAGCGGUGAAAUGCAUAGAUAUCAUCCAGAACACCGAUUGCGAAGGCAGGUGGCUGUACCUUAAUCGACGCUGAUGCACGAAAGCAUGGGGAGCAAACAGGAUUAGAUACCCCGGUAGUCC